UUUUAUUUGAGAGUUUGAUCCUGGCUCAGGAUGAACGCUGGCGGCGUGCCUAACACAUGCAAGUUGAGCGAUUUACUUCGGUAAAGAGCGGCGGACGGGUGAGUAACGCGUGGGUAACCUACCCUGUACACACGGAUAACAUACCGAAAGGUAUGCUAAUACGGGCUAAUAUAUUUGAGAGGCAUCUCUUAAAUAUCAAAGGUGAGCCAGUACAGGAUGGACCCGCGUCUGAUUAGCUAGUUGGUAAGGUAACGGCUUACCAAGGCGCCGAUCAGUAGCCGACCUGAGAGGGUGGUCGGCCACAUUGGAACUGAGACACGGUCCAAACUCCUACGGGAGGCAGCAGUGGGGAAUAUUGCACAAU
This 364-nucleotide ribosomal RNA is filed under the name Clostridioides difficile. RNAcentral describes it as "bacterial SSU rRNA". It matches the Rfam family "Bacterial small subunit ribosomal RNA", at positions 1 to 372 of the family's 1533-position model. Lineage: Bacteria; Bacillati; Bacillota; Clostridia; Peptostreptococcales; Peptostreptococcaceae. The record is from RNAcentral.